AUUGAACGCUGGCGGCAGGCCUAACACAUGCAAGUCGAGCGAGUGGCGGACGGGUGAGUAAUGUCUGGGAAACUGCCUGAUGGAGGGGGAUAACUACUGGAAACGGUAGCUAAUACCGCAUACCAUCAGAUGUGCCCAGAUGGGAUUAGCUAGUUGGUGGGGUAAUGGCUCACCUCGGCGACGAUCCCUAGCUGGUCCGAGAGGAUGACCAGCCAAACUGGAACUGAGACACGGGCCAGACUCCUACGGGAGGCAGCAGUGGGGAAUAUUGCACAAUGGGCGAAAGCCUGAUGCAGCCAUGCCGCGUGUAUGAAGAAGGCCUUCGGGUUGUAAAGCACUUUCAGCGGGGAGGCGUUACUCGCAGAAGAAGCACCGGCUAACUCCGUGCCAGCAGCCGCGGUAAUAC
RNAcentral lists this ribosomal RNA (406 nucleotides) under uncultured bacterium. RNAcentral's name for it is "partial 16S ribosomal RNA". It matches the Rfam family "Bacterial small subunit ribosomal RNA", at positions 30 to 526 of the family's 1533-position model. The record is from RNAcentral.